UAGGUUUUUGGAUCGUAAACCCCUUUUGUCAAGGAAGAAGCUCUGACGGUACUUGACGAAUAAGCCUCGGCUAACUCCGUGCCAGCAGCCGCGGUAAUACGGAGGAGGCAAGCGUUAUCCGGAAUGAUUGGGCGUAAAGCGUCUGUAGGUGGCCAGCUAAGUCUGCUGUUAAAGAUCACAGCUCAACUGUGGGAAGGCAGUGGAAACUGGCAAGCUAGAGGUUGGUAGGGGUAAAGGGAAUUCCCGGUGUAGCGGUGAAAUGCGUAGAUAUCGGGAAGAACACCGGUGGCGAAAGCGCUUUACUGGGCCAGACCUGACACUGAAGGACGAAAGCUAGGGGAGCGAAAGGGAUUAGAUACCCCUGUAGUC
This 369-nucleotide ribosomal RNA is filed under the name uncultured cyanobacterium. RNAcentral's name for it is "bacterial SSU rRNA". It matches the Rfam family "Bacterial small subunit ribosomal RNA", at positions 411 to 795 of the family's 1533-position model. Lineage: Bacteria; Bacillati; Cyanobacteriota. The record is from RNAcentral.